This is a long non-coding RNA of Rosa chinensis, 498 nucleotides long. RefSeq lists it as uncharacterized. The record is from RefSeq and is a predicted model, not a curated record. NCBI's taxonomy places the organism in Eukaryota, Viridiplantae, Streptophyta, Magnoliopsida, Rosales, Rosaceae. The transcript is spliced from 3 exons.
AAAAUUUUUCCUUGUUUUUCCUGCAAGAACCAUAUUUUUGGAAUUCAGGAGGGCAAGGCCUCAUAUUACUACGCUUAUUGUCGUCCUAACAGUGUAGAGGAUAUGUUGCUUACUGAAAAAACCCUCAUCCGUUUUCAGUAACCAACAAGCUGAUUGUAAGGCCUAUAUCUCCCAUUUCGGCUUUUCCAUUUUGAAUGAAUUGAAGGCACCUUUGGAUGACAUAAAGGAGGAAAUAGUACAAGUUGGCAAGGUGGAGGUUUUGCGUCUACUGGUGGCAUCUAUUGCUGGGGAUUCUGCUUUAACUGAUGUGUUUAUAAGGCAGCCCAAGAAAGAACAGUAAAGAGAUUUUCGUUAUCUGAAUAAACAAGGAUGAUGCUUAGGUUUCUACAAACCAGAAUUUCGAGAUGAAUAUGUAGUGUGCUUUGCAUUUUCUUAUGUUCUUUGAGCUAUGGCCUCCAUUGAAGGUUGCCUUUUGGUUACUUGUAGCCUAAGCCUAGU